AAAAGUGAUAUUUUGUUAUUUACAAUAAUAAAAACCUUUGGGCACUUUUA
RNAcentral lists this transfer RNA (50 nucleotides) under Metacrangonyx sp. 1 MDMBR-2012. RNAcentral's name for it is "transfer RNA Valine". The record is from RNAcentral. Lineage: Eukaryota; Metazoa; Arthropoda; Malacostraca; Amphipoda; Metacrangonyctidae.